This 226-nucleotide long non-coding RNA is filed under the name Capsicum annuum. Its description in RNAcentral is "long non-coding RNA (CANN_LNC020339)". The record is from RNAcentral. Lineage: Eukaryota; Viridiplantae; Streptophyta; Magnoliopsida; Solanales; Solanaceae.
GCCAUUUCUGAACUAGCUCACUCACCCUUGUCUCAUUUAUUUACAUUUCACCAUAACAAACCCCCUUUAUAUAUAUACACACACACACACACAAGCAUUAACCACCUUCAACUUAUGUUGAUGCAAUCAGUCAAGGUGCACAGUGUCUUGAGUACACCAAGGUCGAAUGCUCUAAACCAUGCUCUAAACCAACUUUCCCUUAGACAGCUAACAGCUUGACAAUAGC